RNAcentral lists this ribosomal RNA (487 nucleotides) under uncultured bacterium. RNAcentral describes it as "bacterial SSU rRNA". It matches the Rfam family "Bacterial small subunit ribosomal RNA", at positions 25 to 507 of the family's 1533-position model. The record is from RNAcentral.
CAGAACGAACGCUGGCGGCGCGCCUAAUACAUGCAAGUCGAGCGAGAAGGUGUAGCAAUACACUGUAAAGCGGCGAACGGGUGAGGAAUGCAUGGGUAACCUACCCUCGAGUGGGGAAUAACUAGCCGAAAGGUUAGCUAAUACCGCAUACGUUUCCGGAACUUCGGUUUCGGAAAGAAAGCAAUACCGUGGGUAUUGCGCUCCUGGAUGGGCUCAUGUCCUAUCAGCUUGUUGGUGAGGUAACGGCUCACCAAGGCUUCGACGGGUAGCUGGUCUGAGAGGACGAUCAGCCACACUGGCACUGCGACACGGGCCAGACUCCUACGGGAGGCAGCAGUAAGGAAUAUUGCGCAAUGGACGAAAGUCUGACGCAGCGACGCCGCGUGGGGGAUGAAGGUCUUCGGAUUGUAAACCCCUUUCGGGAGGGAAGAUGGAGUGGGUAACCACUUGGACGGUACCUCCAGAAGCAGCCACGGCUAACUUCGUG